RNAcentral lists this ribosomal RNA (445 nucleotides) under uncultured bacterium. Its description in RNAcentral is "partial 16S ribosomal RNA". It matches the Rfam family "Bacterial small subunit ribosomal RNA", at positions 354 to 796 of the family's 1533-position model. The record is from RNAcentral.
GUGAGGAAUAUUGCGCAUUGGAGGCAACUCUGACGCAGCCAUGCCGCGUGCAGGAAGAAGGCGCUACGCGUUGUAAACUGCUUUUAACCGGGAAGAAACCCCAGGACGUGUCCUGGGUUGACGGUACCGGAGGAAUAAGCACCGGCUAACUUCGUGCCAGCAGCCGCGGUAAUACGAAGGGUGCAAGCGUUAUCCGGAUUCAUUGGGUUUAAAGGGUGCGUAGGCGGAGUGUUAAGUCAGUGGUGAAAUCCUGCAGCUUAACUGUAGACUUGCCAUUGAUACUGGCGCUCUUGAGUGCGCUGGAAGUGGGCGGAAUGUGCCGUGUAGCGGUGAAAUGCUUAGAUAUGGCACAGAACACCAAUUGCGAAGGCAGCUCACUAAGGCGAUACUGACGCUGAGGCACGAAAGCGUGGGGAUCGAACAGGAUUAGAUACCCCUGUAGUCC